Molecule: long non-coding RNA, 581 nt
Filed under: Gallus gallus (chicken)
Lineage: Eukaryota; Metazoa; Chordata; Aves; Galliformes; Phasianidae
Source: RNAcentral
AGCGAACGCCCUGCUCUCGCGCUGCGGAUUGGGACUCGGGAGAGACGCGAGAACGCUGCUGGAAGGCACUCUUUGUUGCUGUUGGAGCUGAUGCUGAUUGGAACGGAGCCGGGGAGGUACGGCUGCGCCGCGCCGCCGAACGCGUGGCCCUGCGGCUGGGCUGCGCACGGACUGGGGCACGUCCACGGGAUCGAGCUCCGGGGGUAGGAAAUGGUGGGCAGAGCCGCCAACUGACUGCCAUUAGCCCGCAAAUUGGGAAAAUAGAAGGAAUCUGGAGAUUGCAAGUUCAAGAGAGAACCAACGUAGCCAGAUCUGUAGAGACUGCGAUCACACAUUUCCAACAAAGGACUUCAGCUGUUCUUACAGCAGUAUUUAGUUACAACAGGGAAUAAGCGGAAAGCCUAAAACGAUUGGACGAAACUUUGCAGACAGGUUCUUCAAAGCCGGUAAUUUCAGCACCGCCUCCAGCCACCGAGCCACGGUGUCCCCCCCCCCUUCCUUUUUUUUUUCUUUUUCCCUCCUUUCCCCCCCUUUAUAAAAGUCUUAUGAUAACACUUGAAAUAUGAAAAUACCGGACUCGC